AGUGAACGCUGGCGGUAGGCCUAACACAUGCAAGUCGAACGGCAGCACAGUAAGAGCUUGCUCUUACGGGUCGCGAGUGGCGGACGGGUGAGGAAUACAUCGGAAUCUACUUUUUCGUGGGGGAUAACGUAGGGAAACUUACGCUAAUACCGCAUACGACCUACGGGUGAAAGCAGGGGAUCUUCGGACCUUGCGCGAUUGAAUGAGCCGAUGUCGGAUUAGCUAGUUGGCGGGGUAAAGGCCCACCAAGGCGACGAUCCGUAGCUGGUCUGAGAGGAUGAUCAGCCACACUGGAACUGAGACACGGUCCAGACUCCUACGGGAGGCAGCAGUGGGGAAUAUUGGACAAUGGGCGCAAGCCUGAUCCAGCCAUACCGCGUGGGUGAAGAAGGCCUUCGGGUUGUAAAGCCCUUUUGUUGGGAAAGAAAAGCAGCAGGUUAAUACCCCGCUGUUCUGACGGUACCCAAAGAAUAAGCACCGGCUAACUUCGUG
RNAcentral lists this ribosomal RNA (492 nucleotides) under uncultured bacterium. Its description in RNAcentral is "partial 16S ribosomal RNA". It matches the Rfam family "Bacterial small subunit ribosomal RNA", at positions 29 to 507 of the family's 1533-position model. The record is from RNAcentral.